CCUUUUUGAUUAUGACAUCUAAUUGGUGGGAUUUUGCCACAUUAAAGCGCUGGUUAGUUGACCACGAACUGAAAAUCUCCUUGAACAUCACUUUUGAGAGAAAGGACGGGGCAAGGGGGUCAGAUUCCCGACGUGGAGUGGUUGUGCACUCCUACGUGUCAAAAUAUCACAUAAGCUCUGGGGUAGUGGCUUCUUCGGGCAUGUGCUGUAAAAAUAAAUCAAUACAGUAGGAAACGCGCUGGAAGUAAAUUAAGUGAUGGAUAAUAUUUGCAAGACUGGAGUGGAGGCUGUAAGAAAAUUAUCAUAAAAUAUAGUAAUGCAUAAGGAGUACUUGGAUAAUGUCUUUCUAAUGA
This 353-nucleotide long non-coding RNA is filed under the name Androctonus crassicauda. The record is from RNAcentral. Lineage: Eukaryota; Metazoa; Arthropoda; Arachnida; Scorpiones; Buthidae.